GAGGAAUGUAUAGCAAUAGCUACUUGUAUCAUAGUAGAAAUGAUGCAAGCUCGACUAUGUUGAAUAAAAUUCUAGGUAGAAUUAUGAUAAUGACAUUGUCUGCCUAUGUGUCUUGACCAAAUUACGUGCCAGCAGUCGCGGUAAUACGUAGAAGACUAGUGUUAUUCAUGUUUAAUCGGUUUAAAGGGUACCUAGACGGUGGAUCAAGCUUUUCUAAAUCAGAAAAAGGACUAAUUCGCUAGAGUUACUUACGAGGGGGCAUUAAAGUACUGCUGGUGUAGAGAUGAAAUUCUGUCAUACCUCUUUUCGAAAGAAAAAUGAUGGCACAGGUAUAGGCGAAGGCAUCCCCUUAUGUGAUAACUGACGUUGAGGGACGAAGGCUUCGUGUAACAAACAGGAUUAGAUACCCUAGUAGUUGAAGCAGAAAAUGAUGAAUGUCAUAGAUUAGAUGUUUAAGUUUAUUCUAUAAAUGAAAGUGUAAGCAUUCCACCUCAUGAGUAAUUUGGCAACAUUGGAAUUGAAAUCAUUAGACCGUUUCUGAAACCAG
This 547-nucleotide ribosomal RNA is filed under the name Parmotrema perforatum. RNAcentral describes it as "SSU rRNA". It matches the Rfam family "Bacterial small subunit ribosomal RNA", at positions 407 to 929 of the family's 1533-position model. Lineage: Eukaryota; Fungi; Ascomycota; Lecanoromycetes; Lecanorales; Parmeliaceae. The record is from RNAcentral.